GAUGAACGCUAGCGGCAGGCUUAACACAUGCAAGUCGAGGGGUAUAGUUCUUCGGAACUAGAGACCGGCGCACGGGUGCGUAACGCGUAUGCAAUCUACCUUUUACAGAGGGAUAGCCCAGAGAAAUUUGGAUUAAUACCUCAUAGUAUAUAGCCCUGGCAUCAGGAUUAUAUUAAAGUCACAAACGGUAAAAAGAAUGA
RNAcentral lists this ribosomal RNA (200 nucleotides) under uncultured bacterium. RNAcentral's name for it is "partial 16S ribosomal RNA". It matches the Rfam family "Bacterial small subunit ribosomal RNA", at positions 28 to 228 of the family's 1533-position model. The record is from RNAcentral.